This is a long non-coding RNA of Panicum hallii, 2245 nucleotides long. RefSeq lists it as uncharacterized. The transcript is spliced from 4 exons. The record is from RefSeq and is a predicted model, not a curated record. NCBI's taxonomy places the organism in Eukaryota, Viridiplantae, Streptophyta, Magnoliopsida, Poales, Poaceae.
UGGUGCAUUCUACAGUCUAGCAACUGCAAUCCUAAUCCUCUGAUCCGCAGCCAAGAACAGAAGAAACAACCUGUCCUCAUGGAUUCCUCUUUUCACUCUGCUGAUACAACAUAAAAUAAGCUUAUGGAUAUAUAUACAGAUGGACGGACGGAAUGUAGCUGGCGCCAAUCAUGAGUCAUCAAAAAGGUCCUUCAUCUGGCCGGCUUCAUGCUUCCAUCUCCCUUUCACAAAUAUUUUUAAGGUAAUCCUUUUAUGGAAUAUAGAAGAAUGAAGGUGCAGCAAGUUGAAAUUGGUGCCACGGGAAAGGAUGCAACAAGUUUUGAUGACGCUUCUUUAAAAUUCAUUAUAUCCCACACCUCUAGAUCUGUCUGAGGCAUAGAACAAGAUUUGCUUCGCACAUGGAAACCAAACCAACAAGCAGGUCCAGAUCAGCUGGUAAGUUUGUAGUAAUUUAAUCGUUGAUUACGGAGACUAACAAUAGUACUAAAAGCUGACAAGGUUGAUUUGUCCGGUAAGCGGCGGACACGUGGCACGCCCGGGACACCUAAUUCAAAGAGAAGCUUCUGUGAUUGAAAGCAAUCAAAGAGGAAGACGCACAUAAUAUAGCAACAAAUACAAAUGCGCUAGGAAAAAAUAAAUGGUUGAGGGAGGAAGGCUGAGUAAGCAAGCAGGAACAGAUCAAGAGCCCCCACACUAAAUUCAAGGACCAUGACAGCAACUCCUACUCGCCUACCAUUGUCAUUGUGUGGUGUGGCUAAUAAUAAUAAUAAUAAUAAUAGUAAUAGUAAUAAUAAUUGAUCACCACACGUCACCACGAUAUCAGCAACAGCUUAGUAGCUAAUAAUCAAGGAGCUGUAUAAUGUGUUCGUGCAAAUUUACAGAAUUGAAAAUUUUGAGGCCCCCAAUAUAUUUUGCACCUAAUUAGUUGAUUGAUAUAUAAAUCCAGCUGUCAGCGAAAUUUCACAACCUUCCAUUCUUCGACAACUGGAUUCUAUCGCUGUAUCUUAUGAUCCGAGGGAAUUUAUUUUCAUCUACUUUAUAAUUUACCACGGUUGGAAAUUGAUUGACAGUUUCAUGGAUGUCCUCGGCUAUAUAUAUCAGAAGUAGCCAAUAGUUACACCAAAGGAGGAGAGCUCACCGAGGUAGCCAAAGAACAAAUUAUCGAUCAGAAUAAUCAUGCCGAUAAAUUUAUCUUAAGCCCACUCAUUUGAAUAAGAUAUCAACUGUGGAUGGUGGCUGAACUUGGCUGCAACUUGCAAGACGGCUGCUGGAUUUCCCUGAAAAACAAAACAACCAAUCCAAGUGUUUCUCUUGCAUAACAAGGCGUCAUAUAAAAUUUGUCAUCCAGCAGAUUGCGUAUUAUUCGGUUACUAUCUUAAUUAUUCUGUUUACACUUUUUUAUAUUUUCUAGUAUAUAUACUACAAAACUUCAUCCUGACAAGUAACAAGACCAAAGAAACAAUAACGAUGUAAACAUGAGCUCUGGUUGCUCGCGUGAUAUUUUUGUUUGUUUGUUUGUUUUUGAAGUUCUUCAUGAUCUGAUCGCUCUGGUGAUGGUUGGGUAACUAAGAAACAUUUACAGUAACUCAAAAAUAAUAAUUCCUGUACGAAAUUUUUUACUGCUCCUCUUAACCAGAUAUUUUGAUUGAAUUGUCAUGUUUAAAAUAUGCUACAUAUCCUCGUCACAAAGAAGCAAGCUAAAAGGUGAAAAGAGGUUAAUUAGUGGGUGGUUACAGGAAAGUAAAAAAGAUGGGAAGUAGAUGGUAGAAGUAGCCGGUAGGAUAAAAAGGAAGGCAUGCACUCACUAGAGGUAGGGAGGUAGGGUUGAUAGAUGGAUUUGUAAUUUAAAAUCUAAGACAAGGCUGGCUGGAUUGUUUUUAUAUUAGGUCCACCCACUGGUUGUUAGGGAGAUGAGAUGAGGAGCAUCCAUCCAUCCAUCUGACAAUCCAAACCACAGCACCCACUCCCAACCUCAAUGUGUGCACAGCAAGCCCUUCCCAAUGCAACCUUUGAUUUGAAGAGAGGUUACCAAGUUAACCACCUUUAGUGAGAGUACUUAAUUAUUAGCGUUAUCCCUGUCCUGGUUCACCCGAUGCCUCGGGAUUAUGUCCAAGUUACGGUUCAGGUGUACUAAGGUCAUUAAAUACAGGUAUGGCUGCUAAGAUGUUUGAUCACAGGGUGAAAAAGUGCUAGUACUUCACAUAUGUGAGUCAGCACAAAGGUAAAUUGGUGAAAUUAUGUAACA